This 117-nucleotide ribosomal RNA is filed under the name Yersinia pestis. Lineage: Bacteria; Pseudomonadati; Pseudomonadota; Gammaproteobacteria; Enterobacterales; Yersiniaceae. The record is from RNAcentral.
CCUGGCGGCCAUAGCGCGGUGGUCCCCACCUGAUCCCAUGCCGAACUCAGAAGUGAAACGCCGUAGCGCCGAUGGUAGUGUGGGGUCUCCCCAUGCGAGAGUAGGACACUGCCAGGC